AACGAACGCUGGCGGCAUGCCUAACACAUGCAAGUCGAACGAAGGCUUCGGCCUUAGUGGCGCACGGGUGCGUAACGCGUGGGAAUCUGCCCCUCGGUUCGGAAUAACAGUUAGAAAUGACUGCUAAUACCGGAUGAUGACUUCGGUCCAAAGAUUUAUCGCCGAGGGAUGAGCCCGCGUAAGAUUAGGUAGUUGGUGGGGUAAAGGCCUACCAAGCCGACGAUCUUUAGCUGGUCUGAGAGGGUGAUCAGCCACACUGGGACUGAGACACGGCCCAGACUCCUACGGGAGGCAGCAGUGGGGAAUAUUGGACAAUGGGCGAAAGCCUGAUCCAGCAAUGCCGCGUGAGUGAUGAAGGCCUUAGGGUUGUAAAGCUCUUUUGCCAGGGAUGAUAGUGACAGUACCUGGAGAAUAAGCUCCGGCUAACUCCGUGCCACCCGCCGCUGUAA
Molecule: ribosomal RNA, 449 nt
Filed under: uncultured bacterium
Lineage: Bacteria
Description: partial 16S ribosomal RNA
Rfam family: Bacterial small subunit ribosomal RNA
Source: RNAcentral